CCCUUAGAUGUUCUGGGCUGCACGCGCGCUACACUGAUACUUUCAGCGAGUCCACCACCUUGCCUGGGAGGGUGGGGUAACCUCUGGAAAGUGCAUCGUGAUGGGGAUCGAUUAUUGUAAUUAUUAAUCUUCAACGAGGAAUUCCUAGUAAGCAUGUGUCAUCAGCCCGUGCUGAUUACGUCCCUGCCCUUUGUACACACCGCCCGUCGCACCUACCGAUUGGAUGGUCCGGUGAAGCCUCGGGAUUGUGGCGGUUGCCUUUAUUGGUGGCCGCCGCGAGAACUUGUCUAAACCUUAUCAUCUAGAGGAAGGUGAAGUCGUAACA
RNAcentral lists this ribosomal RNA (325 nucleotides) under uncultured eukaryote. RNAcentral describes it as "partial 18S ribosomal RNA". It matches the Rfam family "Eukaryotic small subunit ribosomal RNA", at positions 1470 to 1796 of the family's 1831-position model. The record is from RNAcentral.